This 65-nucleotide transfer RNA is filed under the name Dipodomys ordii (Ord's kangaroo rat). It matches the Rfam family "tRNA". Rfam says of the family: Transfer RNA (tRNA) molecules are approximately 80 nucleotides in length. Their secondary structure includes four short double-helical elements and three loops (D, anti-codon, and T loops). Lineage: Eukaryota; Metazoa; Chordata; Mammalia; Rodentia; Heteromyidae. The record is from Rfam by way of RNAcentral.
GGUGGCUCAGUGGUAGAGCGCUUGCCUUGCAUGCUUGAGGCCCUGGGUUCGAUUCCCAAGCACCA